RNAcentral lists this ribosomal RNA (506 nucleotides) under uncultured bacterium. RNAcentral's name for it is "bacterial SSU rRNA". It matches the Rfam family "Bacterial small subunit ribosomal RNA", at positions 772 to 1285 of the family's 1533-position model. The record is from RNAcentral.
ACUGAAUAGAUACCCUGGUAGUCCACGCUGUAAACGAUGAGUGCUAGAUGCCGGAUUUUUUCGGUGUCGCAGCUAAACGCAUUAAGCACUCCACCUGGGAAGUACGAUCGCAAGGUUGAAACCCAAAGGAAUUGACGGGGGCCCGCACAAGCAGUGGAGCAUGUGGUUUAAUUCGAUGCAACGCGAAGAACCUUACCUAGGCUUGAAAAGCUUAUGACCGGCUGUGAAAGCAGCUUUCCCGCAAGGGCAUAAGUACAGGUGCUGCAUGGCUGUCGUCAGCUCGUGCCGUGAGGUGUUGGGUUAAGUCCCGCAACGAGCGCAACCCUUACCAUUAGUUGCCACCGGAGCAAUCCGAGCACUCUAAUGGAACUGCCUACGCAAGUAGUGAGGAAGGUGAGGAUGACGUCAAGUCCGCAUGGCCCUUACGCCUAGGACUACACACGUGCUACAAUGGCCGCCACAACGGGCAGCAAAAUCGCGAGAUGGAGCGAAUCCCUAAAAAGCGG